Molecule: long non-coding RNA, 449 nt
Organism: Dryobates pubescens (Downy woodpecker)
Lineage: Eukaryota; Metazoa; Chordata; Aves; Piciformes; Picidae
Exons: 3
Source: RefSeq, a predicted model, not a curated record
AACAGGAUAAUUUACAGGUGAAAUUGUCAAGCUUAACCAUCCAUUUCCUCCCUCCAACCCUGAAAUCUUCAGCUGUUAUUAGACUUUGCCCAUCACUACCAACUUCAUUUCAAAAUAGCUGACUCAAUUAACUACAGCUUCCCAGAACAUUUGCCAGACAAAUAUCAAGCAGGCUUUAUGCAAAUCUACUGCACACAACCGUUUCCCUGCCUCGAAACAUACCUCCAGACCUGUUGAUCAAGCCUGCAGGAAUUCUAAUUAGCUGUGUUUCUGCAGUAUUGCUUGUUCUGUGUACACCGCUGUUCUCAGCAUGGGCUCUCCUCUUGCAGCUUGCUUAGCCGAGGAUGAAUACAACCACUGGCAUCUUGGCUUUGAUCCAAGACUAAAGAAGUACUUAGCAGUUUAAGUCUGCUGCAUGUCAUACGUGAAAUGAACUUUGGGAUUGUUUG